Long non-coding RNA from Saccostrea cuccullata (small rock oyster), 318 nucleotides. RefSeq lists it as uncharacterized. NCBI's taxonomy places the organism in Eukaryota, Metazoa, Mollusca, Bivalvia, Ostreida, Ostreidae. The record is from RefSeq and is a predicted model, not a curated record. The transcript is spliced from 3 exons.
AGGAUGUAGAAAACUGUAGUACAGCCAUUAUAUAUGGAGCUAAUUUCGUGGACUCGUCGACUCUGACGUGUCAUUACAAAUACGUCAAGAUAGAAAAUGAUGUCGUAACAACUACAGCAAUGAGAACCGUUUCUGGUGAUUUUAUAAAUAUGAAUCAGAUCUCGUGCAAUCUCCCAGAAUCUCGUGGAGGUGCUCUCAUUCAGGUCAGCAACGAUGGUCAAACCAUGAGUGAGAACCAAUACCUUCAUCUUGUGUAUGAUUCCAGGUGCUUUGAUUGUUCCAUCGCAGACGAUAUCAUGAAGUCCAGUUGUAAAGUGA